This 519-nucleotide ribosomal RNA is filed under the name uncultured bacterium. RNAcentral's name for it is "bacterial SSU rRNA". It matches the Rfam family "Bacterial small subunit ribosomal RNA", at positions 8 to 518 of the family's 1533-position model. The record is from RNAcentral.
AGAGUUUGAUUCUGGCUCAGGAUGAACGCUAGCGGCAGGCUUAACACAUGCAAGUCGAGGGGCAGCAGGGAGUAGCAAUACUCCGCUGGCGACCGGCGCACGGGUGCGUAACGCGUAUGCAACCUGCCUGUAACAGGGGGAUAACCCGGAGAAAUUUGGACUAAUACCGCAUAUUGCCGUAGAUCAGCAUUGGUUUUCGGCGAAAGGAGCGAUCCGGUUACAGAUGGGCAUGCGUGACAUUAGGUAGUUGGCGGGGCAACGGCCCACCAAGCCGACGAUGUCUAGGGGAACUGAGAGGUUAGUCCCCCACACUGGUACUGAGACACGGACCAGACUCCUACGGGAGGCAGCAGUGAGGAAUAUUGGUCAAUGGACGGAAGUCUGAACCAGCCAUGCCGCGUGCGGGAGGAAGGCCCUACGGGUUGUAAACCGCUUUUACGGGGGAGCAAUAAGCGCCGUGCGCGGCGUGAUGAGAGUACCCCGGGAAUAAGCAUCGGCUAACUCCGUGCCAGCCGCGGC